AGGCUGUCGCCAGGCGUAGGUUGUGCGAGGGCUCCGUGUCUACCAGGGGGCUGGGCGACGCGCGGGUGUGGUUCGGGGUGCACUCACACCGGAUCUACAAGUCCCUGUAUGGCGCGCGGGACCAAGAGAGUCGAACAUAAGUUGUGUGUGUGUGUGUGUGUGUGUGUGUGUGUUUUUAUGUGUGUGUGUGUUGAUUUUAUAUGUGUGUGUGUGUGUGUGUGUGUGUGCUGAUUUUGUGUGUUUUUUCUUUGCUCUGCUACAGCUAUGUGGCUUGGGUCAGGACGCAGAAGGUGGGAGCUACUGCGUCAAGGAUGGGGACCCUGAAGCAGUAUGUGCUGGCCCGGGACGCUGAGCCCACAGCAGCACCGGAGCCAGGACAUGUCCUCCCACGGCCAGGUAACUGCACCGUCUACAAAACAGCCUGGGAGGUGCUUUAAACAACACAACAGUGCUUCAUCAGUUCAUGUUGUCGUCUCGUUGUCGUUCUUUGCAGGCGUCUCCUACUCUGAUCCGACCGACGCCGAACUGCUCGCCGCUGCCGACGAGGUCGACCCUCCCAGCAUGUCCAGGGACGCCCCGCCAGCCGCGGCCCCGCUGGAAGGACCAACACCAGGUCCAGGACCAGGACCGAUGGCCACGAGGCCUGCCUCCGGCAAAGUGGUUUGUAUAAUGUGUGUGUGUGUGUGUGUAUAUGAUGUGUGUGUUUAUGUGUGCCUGUCUGCUGAACAUUCACACCCGCUAACUGUGUGUGUCUGCUGCGUGUGUGUUUCAGCUGCUUCCCCUCAGCUGGAGGAAGACGCUGCCUGAGGAGCAGCAGGAGUGGGUGGGCCGGGCGCUGUUCCGCAGGGACCCCAGCAGCGGGAAGGCUGUGCUCACCACACCGCCCCGACUGUGGUGGUACCCACCAGGCGCCCGGCUCCUCUACACGCAGCCCCCCGCCACAGCCCACGCCUUCUUCCAGCGCCCCUUCUUCCUCUGGCUUCCGUAUCGGAUGUGGGCGUACCACCUCAAGUGCCCCGCCGAUGGGGGUAAGCUGAUGGGCGCUGGCCUAUACAAGACCGUGCGGAGGGUCUUGGACAGGAGCGGGUGGUAUUACAUGGCCACAGAGUGCCUUCAGUGCCCCUCCUGCGGCAAGAAGGUGGCGGGCUGGUCCCAGGACAUCCUGGAGCACCUGGACGUUGCUCACCGCGAGGAAUUCCCGGCCGUUCUGACCUACAAGUAUGUCACUUUUAGUCAUUCUGCGUUUACCCAGCGUUCUGUCGCUCGUGGUUAACUACGGUUAACUGUCUGUGUUCUCUGUUUCCAGGUUGUCCUGCGACAGAGCGGUGAUAGCGAUGCUCAAGGAGCGCACCUUUGGCACCGGCGUGUCUCGCCUCCGUGCCUCCCUGGUGGAGCAGCACUCCAGGGACUGGAUGCAGCACUCCAUCGCCUACCUGUCGGUGCUCCGCAAGCUGAGAGGACCCGGAGCGGCCCAGAAGGACGCCGUGUCCCUGCCGACCUUCGUCAAGGUGCCCGGGCUCACCUGGUUUGGUCGGGUGUACGUGCUGGAGGCCGUGACCAGGCUGGACGAGACCAAGGCCAGGGUGACGUCGAUCUUCGGCGACAUCCUAAAGAUGGACUCCACCAAGAAGGUGAGGUUUCUCUCUCCGUGUGCCGUCGCCUCGUAUGACGUCUG
Gadus morhua (Atlantic cod) is the source of this 1675-nucleotide long non-coding RNA. The record is from Ensembl. Lineage: Eukaryota; Metazoa; Chordata; Actinopteri; Gadiformes; Gadidae.